Molecule: ribosomal RNA, 254 nt
Filed under: uncultured bacterium
Lineage: Bacteria
Description: partial 16S ribosomal RNA
Rfam family: Bacterial small subunit ribosomal RNA
Source: RNAcentral
AACGUAGGAGGCGAGCGUUAUCCGGAUUCACUGGGCGUAAAGCGCGCGUAGGCUGUCGAGUAAGUCGGACGUGAAAGCCCCUGGCUCAACUGGGGGAGGCCGUUCGAUACUGCUCGGCUUGAGGGUAAGAGGGGGAAGUGGAAUUCCCGGUGUAGCGGUGGAAUGCGUAGAGAUCGGGAGGAACACCAGUGGCGAAGGCGGCUUCCUGGCUUACCCCUGACGCUGAGAGCGCGAAAGCGUGGGGAGCAAACGGG